UACAGAGGUCUCAAGCGUUGUUCGGAUUCAUUGGGCGUGAAGGGUGCGUAGGUGGCGUCGUAAGUGGGGUGUGAAAUCCCGGGGCUUAACCCCGGGACUGCAUUCCAUACUGCGGUGCUUGAGGACUGGAGAGGAGACUGGAAUUUACGGUGUAGCAGUGAAAUGCGUAGAGAUCAUGAGGAAGACCAGUGGCGAAGGCGGGUCUCUGGACAGUUCCUGACACUGAGACACGAAGGCCAGGGGAGCAAACGGG
RNAcentral lists this ribosomal RNA (253 nucleotides) under uncultured bacterium. Its description in RNAcentral is "partial 16S ribosomal RNA". It matches the Rfam family "Bacterial small subunit ribosomal RNA", at positions 524 to 776 of the family's 1533-position model. The record is from RNAcentral.